This 460-nucleotide ribosomal RNA is filed under the name uncultured bacterium. RNAcentral's name for it is "bacterial SSU rRNA". It matches the Rfam family "Bacterial small subunit ribosomal RNA", at positions 338 to 795 of the family's 1533-position model. The record is from RNAcentral.
CCUACGGGUGGCACCAGUAAGGAAUAUUGGUCAAUGGAGGCAACUCUGAACCAGCCAUGCCGCGUGCAGGAAGACGGCCCUCUGGGUUGUAAACUGCUUUUACUCGGGAAUAAACCUAUCUACGUGUAGAUAGCUGAAUGUACCGAAGGAAUAAGGAUCGGCUAACUCCGUGCCAGCAGCCGCGGUAAUACGGAGGAUCCAAGCGUUAUCCGGAUUUAUUGGGUUUAAAGGGUGCGUAGGCGGCCUGUUAAGUCAGGGGUGAAAGACGGUAGCUCAACUAUCGCAGUGCCCUUGAUACUGAUGGGCUUGAAUGGACUAGAGGUAGGCGGAAUGAGACAAGUAGCGGUGAAAUGCAUAGAUAUGUCUCAGAACACCGAUUGCGAAGGCAGCUUACUAUGGUCUUAUUGACGCUGAGGCACGAAAGCGUGGGGAUCGAACAGGAUUAGAUACCCUAGUAGUC